RNAcentral lists this long non-coding RNA (312 nucleotides) under Elaeis guineensis (African oil palm). RNAcentral describes it as "long non-coding RNA (EGUI_LNC059983)". The record is from RNAcentral. Lineage: Eukaryota; Viridiplantae; Streptophyta; Magnoliopsida; Arecales; Arecaceae.
UGUUGUUGGUUUUUAAGACUAAAUGCUACAAGCUGCAUCACUUUUCACCUAUGGUGGAAUUAGCCGAUCUUAACUUUGCGAGAGAUGAAUUGGCCUAUCAAUCUUUGCAUGAAAAUGAUAGGAUCUUCAAGAAACUCGACUUUGAAAUUUCAACCUAUUAGGAGGAAGAAACUGAAUCUUAUCUUGUAGAACUCUCAAAAUCUAUAGAUCAAGGCAAUAAAAAAGAGAUAUCACAUGUCAAGGUGAGAACAGAUCAGACUGAACAAGCAAUCAACAAUGCUUCAACCAAUAUUAAGCUGAUAUUUGGGCCCA